Molecule: ribosomal RNA, 459 nt
Filed under: uncultured bacterium
Lineage: Bacteria
Description: partial 16S ribosomal RNA
Rfam family: Bacterial small subunit ribosomal RNA
Source: RNAcentral
CCUACGGGAGGCAGCAGUGAGGAAUAUUGGUCAAUGGGCGGGAGCCUGAACCAGCCAAGCCGCGUGAAGGAAGAAGGCGCCAGGCGUCGUAAACUUCUUUUGUCGGGGAACAAAGGGCGCCACGCGUGGCGUUGUGAGUGUACCCGAAGAAAAAGCAUCGGCUAACUCCGUGCAAGCAGCCGCGGUAAUACGGAGGAUGCGAGCGUUAUCCGGAUUUAUUGGGUUUAAAGGGUGCGUAGGCGGUCCGGAAAGUCAGCGGUAACAGCCCGGGGCUCAACCCCGGCGAGCCGUUGAAACUGUCGGACUAGAGACGGCGAGAAGUACGCGGAAUGCGCGGUGUAGCGGUGAAAAGCAUAGAUAUCGCGCAGAACUCCGAUUGCGAAGGCAGCGUACCGGCGCCGGACUGACGCUGAGGCACGAAAGCGUGGGUAUCGAACAGGAUUAGAUACCCUUGUAGUC